RNAcentral lists this ribosomal RNA (253 nucleotides) under uncultured bacterium. RNAcentral describes it as "partial 16S ribosomal RNA". It matches the Rfam family "Bacterial small subunit ribosomal RNA", at positions 524 to 776 of the family's 1533-position model. The record is from RNAcentral.
UACGUAGGGUGCGAGCGUUAAUCGGAAUUACUGGGCGUAAAGCGUGCGCAGGCGGCUUUGCAAGACAGAUGUGAAAUCCCCGGGCUUAACCUGGGAACUGCAUUUGUGACUGCACGGCUGGAGUGCGGCAGAGGGGGAUGGAAUUCCGCGUGUAGCAGUGAAAUGCGUAGAUAUGCGGAGGAACACCGAUGGCGAAGGCAAUCCCCUGGGCCUGCACUGACGCUCAUGCACGAAAGCGUGGGGAGCAAACAGG